UGGGGAAUUUUGGACAAUGGGCGAAAGCCUGAUCCAGCAAUGCCGCGUGUGUGAAGAAGGCCUUCGGGUUGUAAAGCACUUUUGUCCGGAAAGAAAUCCUUGGCUCUAAUACAGUCGGGGGAUGACGGUACCGGAAGAAUAAGCACCGGCUAACUACGUGCCAGCAGCCGCGGUAAUACGUAGGGUGCAAGCGUUAAUCGGAAUUACUGGGCGUAAAGCGUGCGCAGGCGGUUUGCUAAGACCGAUGUGAAAUCCCCGGGCUCAACCUGGGAACUGCAUUGGUGACUGGCAGGCUAGAGUAUGGCAGAGGGGGGUAGAAUUCCACGUGUAGCAGUGAAAUGCGUAGAGAUGUGGAGGAAUACCGAUGGCGAAGGCAGCCCCCUGGGCCAAUACUGACGCUCAUGCACGAAAGCGUGGGGGAGCAAACAGGAUUAGAUACCCUGGUAGUCCACGCCCUAAACGAUGUCAACUAGUUGUUGGGGGAUUCAUUUCCUUAGUAACGUAGCUAACGCGUGAAGUUGACCGCCUGGGGGAGUACGGGUCGCAA
RNAcentral lists this ribosomal RNA (547 nucleotides) under uncultured bacterium. Its description in RNAcentral is "partial 16S ribosomal RNA". It matches the Rfam family "Bacterial small subunit ribosomal RNA", at positions 355 to 891 of the family's 1533-position model. The record is from RNAcentral.